ACGGGUGAGGAAUACAUCGGAAUCUACCUUUUCGUGGGGGAUAACGUAGGGAAACUUACGCUAAUACCGCAUAAGACCUUCGGGUGAAAGUGGGGGACCUUCGGGCCUCACGCGGAUAGAUGAGCCGAUGUCGGAUUAGCUUGUUGGCGGGGUAAAAGCCCACCAAGGCGACGAUCCGUAGCUGGUCUGAGAGGAUGAUCAGCCACACUGGAACUGAGACACGGUCCAGACUCCUACGGGAGGCAGCAGUGGGGAAUAUUGGACAAUGGGCGCAAGCCUGAUCCAGCCAUACCGCGUGGGUGAAGAAGGCCUUCGGGUUGUAAAGCCCUUUUGUUGGGAAAGAAAUCCUGCCGGUUAAUAACCAGUAGGGAUGACGGUACCCAAAGAAUAAGCACCGGCUAACUUCGUGCCAGCAGCCGCGGUAAUACGAAGGGUGCAAGCGUUACUCGGAAUUACUGGGCGUAAAGCGUGCGUAGGUGGUUGUUUAAGUCUGCUGUGAAAGCCCUGGGCUCAACCUGGGAAUUGCAGUGGAUACUGGGCGACUAGAGUGUGGUAGAGGAUAGUGGAAUUUCCGGUGUA
This 579-nucleotide ribosomal RNA is filed under the name Pseudoxanthomonas sp. BvIRR006. Its description in RNAcentral is "bacterial SSU rRNA". It matches the Rfam family "Bacterial small subunit ribosomal RNA", at positions 102 to 677 of the family's 1533-position model. RNAcentral also lists the same sequence under 4 other names. Lineage: Bacteria; Pseudomonadati; Pseudomonadota; Gammaproteobacteria; Lysobacterales; Lysobacteraceae. The record is from RNAcentral.